RNAcentral lists this long non-coding RNA (985 nucleotides) under Salvia miltiorrhiza (redroot sage). Its description in RNAcentral is "long non-coding RNA (SMIL_LNC014419)". Lineage: Eukaryota; Viridiplantae; Streptophyta; Magnoliopsida; Lamiales; Lamiaceae. The record is from RNAcentral.
UUUUUUAUAGUAACAUUAAAAUUUACCCACUCAAAUAAAAACUUUAAAAAAAUACCCACUUUUUGUGUUAAAGGACUAAAGUGCCCCUAUGAUUAAAAUUUAAAACUUACCCACAUCAAAUCUCAUCUCUCUUCCUCUCGGUCUCUCUCUCUCUCUCUCUCCUUCCUGCGUCGCCACCGCCGGCCGUCGAUCUUCCUCUGCCAUCACCCUGCUCAUUCCGGCGGAGCUGGAGAUGUACUUGCCGUCGCUCCGCCCUGCGCCGCCUUCACCUGAUUGUGCAUCGACGAGCAAAUCUCCGCCAAAAGCUUCAGCGCCGAUGUUGAUCUCGCGGCGACCAAGGGCGGAAGACGGCGGUGAGUCCAUGGAUUGCAAUUUCGCUGCUUCUUCCUUCGCCUGAUUCCGCAUUCGACGAGCAAAUAUCCUCCUUCGCCGCUUCCUCCUUCGCCUGAUUCUGCCUUCGACGAGCAAUUUUACCACUUCCUCCUUCGCCUGAGUCCAUGGACUACAAUUUCGCCUGAUUCCGCCCUACGCCGCCUUCGCCUGAUUCCGCCUCGACGAACAAAUCUCCGCCAAAAGCUUCAGCGCCGACGUUGACUUCAAUUACCAGGUUCAAAUCGUCGAGGAAGGCAACAAUUGGUUUAUUGGUUAACCUAAUUCUUCGCCCGACGAAAUAGAAUUUUUGUUCCGGUGAAAUAAUGAUGGAAUUCCUAUGAGGAAGAAAGGGGGAGAGGAGACGUGUUCUGCCAUGGAAGGAGGUGGUUGGUGGGGUUUGGAGUGGGAGAUGUUUUUUUACAGCAGUGGGGUGUUUGGGGGAGUUUUUUAAUUGGAGCAUAGAUGAUCAGUAAAAAUUAGAGAAAUUUCCAAAAAUUGUUAAGAUGUGAGUUUGUUUUGUUAAUGUUCUUAAAUUCACAACUAGAUUUAUGAAUUCACAAUUUAAUGUUCUUGAAUUCACAACUAGAUUUAUGAAUUCACAAUUGAAUUACCG